Molecule: transfer RNA, 83 nt
Filed under: Oryctolagus cuniculus (rabbit)
Lineage: Eukaryota; Metazoa; Chordata; Mammalia; Lagomorpha; Leporidae
Rfam family: tRNA
About the family: Transfer RNA (tRNA) molecules are approximately 80 nucleotides in length. Their secondary structure includes four short double-helical elements and three loops (D, anti-codon, and T loops). Further hydrogen bonds mediate the characteristic L-shaped molecular structure. tRNAs have two regions of fundamental functional importance: the anti-codon, which is responsible for specific mRNA codon recognition, and the 3' end, to which the tRNAs corresponding amino acid is attached (by aminoacyl-tRNA synthetases). tRNAs cope with the degeneracy of the genetic code in two manners: having more than one tRNA (with a specific anti-codon) for a particular amino acid; and 'wobble' base-pairing, i.e. permitting non-standard base-pairing at the 3rd anti-codon position.
Source: Rfam by way of RNAcentral
GGCGCUGUGGUGCAGUGGGUUAACACCCUGGCCUGGGGUGCCAGCAUCCCAUAUGGCCGCAGGUUCGAGUCCUGGCUGCUCCA